UACGGGGGGAGCGAACGUUGUUCGGAAUUACUGGGCGUAAAGGGCGUGCAGGCGGCCUUGUAAGUGGGAUGUGAAAUGCCUUGGCUCAACCAGGGACAUGCAUCUCAGACUGCAAGGCUUGAGUAUAGGAGAGGAUGGGGGAAUUCUCGGUGUAGCGGUGAAAUGCAUUGAUAUCGGGAGGAACACCAGCGGCGAAGGCGCCCAUCUGGCCUAAUACUGACGCUCAGGCGCGAAAGCUAGGGGAG
Molecule: ribosomal RNA, 245 nt
Filed under: uncultured bacterium
Lineage: Bacteria
Description: partial 16S ribosomal RNA
Rfam family: Bacterial small subunit ribosomal RNA
Source: RNAcentral